This 501-nucleotide ribosomal RNA is filed under the name uncultured bacterium. RNAcentral describes it as "partial 16S ribosomal RNA". It matches the Rfam family "Bacterial small subunit ribosomal RNA", at positions 30 to 523 of the family's 1533-position model. The record is from RNAcentral.
AUUGAACGCUGGCGGCAGGCUUAACACAUGCAAGUCGAGCGGAGAUGAGGUGCUUGCACCUUAUCUUAGCGGCGGACGGGUGAGUAAUGCUUAGGAAUCUGCCUAUUAGUGGGGGACAACAUUCCGAAAGGAAUGCUAAUACCGCAUACGUCCUACGGGAGAAAGCAGGGGAUCUUCGGACCUUGCGCUAAUAGAUGAGCCUAAGUCGGAUUAGCUAGUUGGUGGGGUAAAGGCCUACCAAGGCGACGAUCUGUAGCGGGUCUGAGAGGAUGAGCCGCCACACUGGGACUGAGACACGGCCCAGACUCCUACGGGAGGCAGGAGUGGGGAAUAUUGGACAAUGGGGGGAACCCUGUUCCAGCCAUGCCGCGUGUGUGAAGAAGGCCUUAUGGUUGUAAAGCACUUUAAGCGAGGAGGAGGCUACUGAGACUAAUACUCUUGGAUAGUGGACGUUACUCGCAGAAUAAGCACCGUCUAACUCUGUGCCAGCCGCCGCGGUAA